Molecule: ribosomal RNA, 494 nt
Filed under: uncultured bacterium
Lineage: Bacteria
Description: partial 16S ribosomal RNA
Rfam family: Bacterial small subunit ribosomal RNA
Source: RNAcentral
GACGAACGCUGGCGGCGUGCUUAACACAUGCAAGUCGAACGGUGAAGCGCCUUCCUUUUUGGUGGGUGUGGAUGAGUGGCGAACGGGUGAGUAACACGUGAGUAACCUGCCCCCUUCUUCUGGAUAACCGCAUGAAAGUGGGGCUAAUACAGGAUAGUCGGGGUCUGUCGCAUGAUGGGUCUGGGAAAGAUAUUGUUUCGGUGGGGGAUGGGCUCGCGGCCUAUCAGCUUGUUGGUGGGGUGAUGGCCUACCAAGGCGGUGCCGGGUAGCCGGCCUGAGAGGGUGGACGGUCCCACUGGGACUGAGACGCCGCCCAGACUCCUGCGGGAGGCAGCAGUGGAGAAUAUUGCACAAUGGGAGCCCGCCUGCUGCAGCGACGCCGCGUGAGGGAUGGAGGCCUUCGGGUUGUGAACCUCUUUCGCCAGUGAAGCAGGCCUGCCUCGUUUGUGGGUGGGUUGACGGUAGCUGGAUAAGAAGCGCCGGCUAACUACGUG